AGUGAACGCUGGCGGUAGGCCUAACACAUGCAAGUCGAACGGCAGCACAGGAGAGCUUGCUCUCUGGGUGGCGAGUGGCGGACGGGUGAGGAAUACAUCGGAAUCUACUUUUUCGUGAGGGAUAACGUAGGGAAACUUACGCUAAUACCGCAUACGACCUACGGGUGAAAGCAGGGGACCUUCGGGCCUUGCGCGAUUGAAUGAGCCGAGGUCGGAUUAGCUAGUUGGCGGGGUAAAGGCCCACCAAGGCGACGAUCCGUAGCUGGUCUGAGAGGAUGAUCAGCCACACUGGAACUGAGACACGGUCCAGACUCCUACGGGAGGCAGCAGUGGGGAAUAUUGGACAAUGGGCGCAAGCCUGAUCCAGCCAUACCGCGUGGGUGAAGAAGGCCUUCGGGUUGUAAAGCCCUUUUGUUGGGAAAGAAAUCCAGCUGGCUAAUACCCGGUUGGGAUGACGGUACCCAAAGAAUAAGCACCGGCUAACUUCGUGCCAGCCGCCGCGGUAA
Molecule: ribosomal RNA, 506 nt
Filed under: uncultured bacterium
Lineage: Bacteria
Description: partial 16S ribosomal RNA
Rfam family: Bacterial small subunit ribosomal RNA
Source: RNAcentral